GUGGGUAUAGCUCAGUGGUAGAGCAUAUGCUUGGCAUGUACAAGGUCCUGGGUUCGAUCCCCAGUGCUUCCG
RNAcentral lists this transfer RNA (72 nucleotides) under Camelus bactrianus (Bactrian camel). It matches the Rfam family "tRNA". Rfam says of the family: Transfer RNA (tRNA) molecules are approximately 80 nucleotides in length. Their secondary structure includes four short double-helical elements and three loops (D, anti-codon, and T loops). Lineage: Eukaryota; Metazoa; Chordata; Mammalia; Artiodactyla; Camelidae. RNAcentral also lists the same sequence under 2 other names. The record is from Rfam by way of RNAcentral.